RNAcentral lists this unclassified non-coding RNA (358 nucleotides) under Ficus adhatodifolia. RNAcentral's name for it is "partial contains external transcribed spacer and 18S ribosomal RNA". Lineage: Eukaryota; Viridiplantae; Streptophyta; Magnoliopsida; Rosales; Moraceae. The record is from RNAcentral.
CGAGCUUGCUCUUCUUGGGCACCACCCUAGGUUCCUGUGUUGCCUUCCCAUCGUAUGGAAAAAUUCGUCAGAUAGCCACGCCCCUUUCCUCUUUGUGGCUUUGCGGCUGCAAUGCGGACCUCGAAAGCGGUCCCCGUGUCCCGGACAUAUCCUCYGACUUCGGUCGUGGCUGUCUCGGUCCACGGGACAACUGCUCGCGCUCUCGGAUGUGGAAAAUUAAGCGGACGUGGGGGGGUCUUGGCCUCCGGUUGCUCCACAAUCAAGUCCCGCGAUAAGAAUGACUUUCGCUACCUCAUUGACCGCAGGCCGUCCAGGCCCGUGGCAUCAAUGCGGGUCCGUAGUCGAGAAAAAAUGCUAC